Molecule: long non-coding RNA, 382 nt
Organism: Ochotona princeps (American pika)
Lineage: Eukaryota; Metazoa; Chordata; Mammalia; Lagomorpha; Ochotonidae
Exons: 3
Source: RefSeq, a predicted model, not a curated record
GCUUGCCUAGAUGAGUGCACCUGGGAAAGGGGAGGAUCCUUUAGUCAUCGCUGUGUCCCCCCAAAGAAUUGAGUUUCGGUUUACAGCCACAUCCUACUGUGAAGUCUUUGUCAUCCCUUCUCAGCCACUUCCUUCCUUUGGUUCUUAGGGACACGGCAGGUUCUGUGACCUCAGGAAGGCCCUGGCCAGCGCUAGUGAAGCAGCAGGCAAGAAAUAUUUACUGUCUGGCCAAACCCUGCUUGAAAGGAUCAGUUCCACUUCUUCGUCUGCAUCCGAGUCUUCAUCCUCGCCAUCUUCUCCCUCCUCCAGGAGGUUUGCCAGCUCCUCAUCAGAGGGAGAGAAGUCAUUGUCUCCAUCCUCGCCUGCAUUCUCGUUGUUGUCA